This 685-nucleotide ribosomal RNA is filed under the name uncultured archaeon. Its description in RNAcentral is "bacterial SSU rRNA". It matches the Rfam family "Bacterial small subunit ribosomal RNA", at positions 376 to 1056 of the family's 1533-position model. The record is from RNAcentral.
UGCGCAGCUGAUGAUUCAACGCCGCGGGCGGAUGAAGGUCUUCGGAUUGUAAACUCCUGUUGCUCGGGAAGAAAAGCUCCAACCUAAUACGUUGGAGUCUGACGGUACCGGGUGAGGAAGCCCCGGCUAACUCUGUGCCAGCAGCCGCGGUAAUACAGAGGGGGCAAGCGUUGUUCGGAAUUACUGGGCGUAAAGGGCGCGUAGGCGGCCUGCUAAGUCGAACGUGAAAACCCCGGGCUCAACCCGGGAACUGCGUCCGAUACUGGUGGGCUUGAAUCCGGGAGAGGGAUGCGGAAUUCCAGGUGUAGCGGUGAAAUGCGUAGAUAUCUGGAGGAACACCGGUGGCGAAGGCGGCAUCCUGGACCGGCAUUGACGCUGAGGCGCGAAAGCUAGGGUAGCAAACGGGAUUAGAUACCCCGGUAGUCCUAGCCCUAAACGAUGAAUGCUUGGUGUGGCGGGUAUCGAUCCCUGCCGUGCCGAAGCUAACGCAUUAAGCAUUCCGCCUGGGGAGUACGGUCGCAAGGCUGAAACUCAGAGGAAUUGACGGGGGCCCGCACAAGCGGUGGAGCAUGUGGUUUAAUUCGACGCAACGCGAAGAACCUUACCCAGGCUUGAACUGCAGGUGACAUUCUACGAAAGUAGACUUCCGCAAGGACGCCUGUAGAGGUGCUGCAUGGCUGUCGUC